This 22-nucleotide microRNA is filed under the name Capitella teleta. RNAcentral's name for it is "Cte-Mir-2689_5p* (star (passenger))". Lineage: Eukaryota; Metazoa; Annelida; Polychaeta; Capitellidae. The record is from RNAcentral.
AGGCCUCGCUGGCCAGGAUUCG